Molecule: non-coding RNA, 24 nt
Filed under: Arabidopsis thaliana (thale cress)
Lineage: Eukaryota; Viridiplantae; Streptophyta; Magnoliopsida; Brassicales; Brassicaceae
Source: RNAcentral
AAGGGUCGGCAGAAGACGUUCUGC